This 444-nucleotide ribosomal RNA is filed under the name Sulcodius deflexus. Its description in RNAcentral is "partial large subunit ribosomal RNA". It matches the Rfam family "Archaeal large subunit ribosomal RNA", at positions 2033 to 2666 of the family's 2987-position model. Lineage: Eukaryota; Metazoa; Arthropoda; Malacostraca; Decapoda; Xanthidae. The record is from RNAcentral.
GUAGCAUAAUCAUUAGGGAUUUAAUUGGGACCUGGUAUGAAGGGUUGGACAAAGGAGAGACUGUCUUAGUGGUAAAGGUUGAAUUUUACUUUUAAGUGAAAAGGCUUAAAUAUUUCAGAGGGACGAUAAGACCCUAUAAAGCUUUAUAAAUAGUUUAAGUCUGAUUAAUUUAGAUUAUAAAGGUUAGGCUUAAUAGUUUUAUUUUAUUGGGGUGAUGUGAGUAUAAUUUAUGUUAGCUGCUUAAGAGUGAUUCUGUAUGAUUGGAGAAUAAAUAAAGUAAAUGAUCCUUUAUAAAGAUUAAAAGACUAAGUUACUUUAGGGAUAACAGCGUUAUUUCUUUUGAGAGUUCAUAUUGAAAAAGAAGAUUGCGACCUCGAUGUUGAAUUAAAAUGUCUAGAUAGUGCAGCCGCUAUAAAAGAAGGUCUGUUCGACCUUUAAAUUUUU